CUACGGCCACAUUCACGUUGAAAAACCACUUUCCGUACGAUCACCGAAGUUAAGCAAUCUCGAGCCUGGUCAGUACCUAGAUGAGUGACCGCUUGGGAAUACCAGGUGCUGUAA
Acanthosepion pharaonis is the source of this 114-nucleotide non-coding RNA. Lineage: Eukaryota; Metazoa; Mollusca; Cephalopoda; Sepiida; Sepiidae. The record is from the annotation of a GenBank genome assembly.